CCUGGUAGCUCAGUGGUAAAGAAUCUGCCUGCAAUGCAGGAGACCCAGGUUCGAUCCCUGGGUCAGGA
This 68-nucleotide transfer RNA is filed under the name Bos taurus (domestic cattle). It matches the Rfam family "tRNA". From Rfam's summary of the family: Transfer RNA (tRNA) molecules are approximately 80 nucleotides in length. Their secondary structure includes four short double-helical elements and three loops (D, anti-codon, and T loops). Lineage: Eukaryota; Metazoa; Chordata; Mammalia; Artiodactyla; Bovidae. RNAcentral also lists the same sequence under 2 other names. The record is from Rfam by way of RNAcentral.